GAAUCCCCGCCCGCGGACCGCGAUCGUGAGAAUGCCUCGUAGCGAGGACGUCGAAGGCCAGGUCUUGCGCAACGCCAACCUGUGAACCCCGUCAGGUCCGGAAGGAAGCAGCGGUAAGCGGGCGCUGGCGUGUGCCGCGAGGUUGCCGGGCCGGAGCCCAGCGCGCGAGAAGCGCUCGUGGUCACGGGACAACGGCGGGUGCACGG
Molecule: signal recognition particle RNA, 206 nt
Filed under: Actinomycetes bacterium
Lineage: Bacteria; Bacillati; Actinomycetota; Actinomycetes
Description: Actinobacteria bacterium partial signal recognition particle sRNA large type
Rfam family: Bacterial large signal recognition particle RNA
About the family: The signal recognition particle (SRP) is a universally conserved ribonucleoprotein involved in the co-translational targeting of proteins to membranes. Archaeal SRP consists of a 7S RNA and homologues of the eukaryotic SRP19 and SRP54 proteins.
Source: RNAcentral